UAAUAAUAAAUUAACAUGCAUAAAAAGUGUUUCAGUUAUGUCUUUUUUUUUUUUUGUUAACAUCUCUCAAAGGAUAAAAAUGACGAUUUAUCUUCUACUUGGCAGUAAUAAUCUUAUGACAGAAAGUUUUGUAGACCAAUAUUCAUUUGCCAGAAUAACUUGAGAUUUUUCUUUACUUUGCACACAAGCUGUUUGAUAGAAUGUCUACUUCAUAGAUCACUAAAUUCUCACCAAUAUUGGUAUGAACCUAGGAGUCAGGUUUGAUUUAUUGAUCGCGUGGCAAAAUAACUAAGAUCUUUCAGGUAUAUGUCUUGAAACUUGAAAGUUAGAAGUGUUGGUGCCAAUGAAGAGAAGCAAUACCCAGACACCAAAACUAUUGUGGAACCAACAAAUGGUUCAUCUGGUAAGUAAAUUAUGUUUUAGUUCCAAAGAAAAUAAUGGAAUGUUUGAAUUAAGUAUUUUUACAUUAAAGUUGUAGUUUCUUGAUUUCACAUUAACGUUGGAUUCUUCUUAAAAGCAUUUUUCAUGCCAAUUUUCAUUAUGUUAAAUGAUGGUAUUCUUUGCUGAGUUGAAAGGUUAGUAUUUCUGUAUAUAAGGAUGGAUGCUUAUGUGAUUGUGGAAAAGAGUACUUAUACUAUAGCUUUAUAAGGGUCUCCGGCAUACAAUUGAUUUUAACAUGUUUGAGUAUUCUUCGGUAUAAUUGAUUUUGCAUCCAGAAUUGAUUAUAACUCGAAGUUAGAAUUUGAAACUUUUGCCUUCCAAAUUGAUUCUUUUAUUGAAUAUUGGAAACCUUUCAGAUUAUAGGAAAAGAAAGCAUAAUAUAUUGGAAAACAAUUAGUUGCUCUCCAAUAUUUGUUUUUUCAGAAGAAGAAAAAAAGUUAUUUCAUAUUAUUAAAAUAUAGUAUCAAACAUAGAUAAACAUAACCUUGAAUAUGACAACUUGUUAUAGAUAUGACCACCAUACUAGAGAACGACACCAAAUUAGAACACAUCUUAAUUAUGAUUUUGAUACUAUCCACUACCAACUUAAAAUCAAAUUAAAAAAUUACAUGAUCCAUUUCUGCGACCCACCCCAAUUUCAACGCAAAUAGGAGAGUUCAAGCAUUUCCUUCAUGAACCAGUAGGAGUGUCUGAUGUGAGUUUGUCAAUGCUUGAACAAGAUGCCCUGAACCGUCCCUGGAGCACCUUCUAUCCCAUGGCAAGGGUUAUCAAACUUUGAGUUUUCUAUUUUUGGAUUGAAAAGGAUGCGUAAUUUAAAAACUUAGGCGGGGUUUGUGCAAUUUUACGAAGGAACUGCAACGUAAUUGAUGGUAAAUUAAGUACACAACACUGUCUUCUCUUCACAUCAAAGUAUCUAAGAGUGUUACUCAGUCGUUGUCCCAAAUAACCAUUAACAUGACAUUGCACAAAAGAAAAUCAAGCAAUACCAGUCUAAUAUUUCCAAUACCCUUGUUAGUUAAAGUUUCUAGCAGCAAUAUGCAGCUCAUAUAGACAGCAACAUUGUAUUGUAUCAACCAAAGACUACAAGAAGAAAGCUUCUACUGUCACAAACUAAAGAAAGAAGUGGCUGAUUGAUUUACCAUUGAGCUGUAGUUUUUCUGAUGGUACACAACCCCAAAUCAUGGCCCCAAGACGGCCAUUGCCGAUGGGGAUGGCAUCGACCCAGUACUCUGCAGGCUCAGAAAAAGUAACCUUCAAUGGCCUUGGAGUUUCAUCAUCAGCAUUUGGUAAACUUGACGGGGCCAGACAAAAAAGUUUGGGAUGGCCGCCAUCAAAAUAAACUAAAAUAUAUAAAUCAUAUUGUUUACAACACACUUAAGUUGUAAUAAACAUAAAGUCAAUUAUGAUGUUGUAUUCAAUAACGGCAAUUUCAUAUAUGGAAUCAUGUAGUCGGAUUAGAGAUAGAACAGAGAGCAUUUCAAAUAGGAAAUCACCUAAAUGCAAAGAAUAAAGCUAGAGUAAACGGUGAUAUCACCCCUUGUCCAAAUAGGAAAACCUCGCCCAAUCUCCACUAACAUAAAGAGCAGCUACCAGGACACCAAGAUAGCACAUAAAGAAACAAAUCCUUAACUGUCUUACUGCACUUGAAUUGCUCCUAGGAGAGACAAAAACAAACACGAUAAGCCCUCCAUCUCAAUUUUGAAACAACCAAAAUAUCGACCACAAAUCUAAGCUACACAACAACCAAACUCCAGAAGAUUCUAUCAUUCGGAAGCUGCUAAUAAUCACCACACAGUCCAAAAGCAAAAAAACCAAAACAGAAUACUACCAAAAAUGCUGCAAACCCAACACACUGAUGAGAUAUGACACAAAACCAAGAGAAAUAACAAAAGAAAUGCAUUAGAAACUAGGGAACAUAUACAACCAUUGAUUGCUAGCUAAGAAUCCAUCCAAUCUAGCUUUUAUGUGAUGAAAAUAUCCCCAAUAUAGCCCAAACCAGUUAAGCCACACUGUUGGAUAGUGUCUUUGAACCGGUUUGUAAUACUACUGUCAGCAAGAUUACCUCCAUUUUUUUUUUCAGCUUGACCCAAAAUCAAAUCGAAAUCACCAAAAACUAACAACCUAUUUCUAGAAUUAUCCCUGUAUAUCUGACUAAAAAGAUCACAAGCAAGUUAUUAAAAAAAAGCACAUUGUCUAAGAACACAAAACAAAGAGUAGUAAACAAUCCAUAAUAAUUAGAAUCAAGCUAAGAAUUAGAGCUGUUAGUAAAAAAUUGAUCAAUUAACCCUCAUAUUAGUAAAAAAUCCAUCUGAUAAUACAAGAAAAACAUGAGAUAGAAUUAGAGCUGUUAGUCACUGAGUCACAUAAGAUUCUGAUUCCUCAAAUUAACCCUCACUUUAGCAAAUUAAAAAGGGAAAAAUUAAGCCAGAAUUAGAAACAAUUAAAAUUGGCUUAAUUAAACCUUUGGUCCUCUAACUUAUUUGUUGUUUUCAUUUUGGUCCCAUAACUUUAAAAUUUUCCUUUUUGGUCCCUCAAAUAUGCUCCGUCAGUCAAAUUGAUCCAAGUCUGUUAACUUUUAACUCCAAAUGUCUAUGGUGGACCAACAUUAUAAUGGUCCACCGUAGAUCUUAUUAAUUUUGUUAAUUUUGACCCCUUGAUUUUUUUAUCAUAAAGGAGACCAUUAGAUCAUGUAGAUCCAUUAUAUCUUAUGAUGUACCGUCUAUAACAAAUUUAUUUACCAAUCCUUCUUCUUCUUCCUCCCUAAUCGCCAUAUCAUAUUCAUCAUCAUAUCAUCUUAAGAUCUAAACCCAGAAAUCAUAAAACAUAAAUCUAUCAAAAUCCACAAAUCAGUAAUCACAAAACACACAUAAAAGCUUUCUCUUUCAUACACACUGCAAUUUCUAAGAUUCAAAAUUUUCCCUUUCAAAAUCAAAAUCCAUAAAAGCUUUCCCUUACAUCUGACAACAAUCGAAAUCCAUAAAAACUUUCCCUUUCACGCGUAUAACCCAUACACUUCUUGAAUUCACCCAAAUCCCUAAUCGCUCAUGGAUUUCUAUCAACCUUUUAACCUCAGAUUGACGCCUCAUAUUAAACCCAUAUUCAAUUCUCCAGCUGCAUUCACAAAACCGCUUCCCAUGUUAAAAGAAGUAGGUGGAGUUUGGCUUAGAUCUGGAAAGGCAUAUGGUUGCUGAGCCAUUAUUGGUCCACCACUCUUGUCAUUCUGAGAUGCAGUAGUUGAAAGUGCAUAACCAAUGGCAGCGGGACUGAAAUUUGGAAAUUUUUGCUUAAUUAGCGCAACAAGACCUGUAAUAUGUCGCGUCUCCCUUUUUGUUUUUGAUUUGGAUUCAACUUUUGAUUUAGAUACAAGGUUUGUAUUUUGUUGUUGAUUUUGAGUUGGAUUCUUCAUCUUUUGUGUUUCAUGAUUGAUUCUGCGUUUGGAUUUAAUCUAAGAAGGAGAAGUUUGGGAUGUUGUUGAUUUGGAUUUUGUAGAUUAUGAAUUAACUAUUUGGAUUUGAUGGAAA
Long non-coding RNA from Medicago truncatula (barrel medic), 3962 nucleotides. RefSeq lists it as uncharacterized. The record is from RefSeq and is a predicted model, not a curated record. The transcript has 2 exons. Lineage: Eukaryota; Viridiplantae; Streptophyta; Magnoliopsida; Fabales; Fabaceae.